CCCAACACACCCUCCAGGAUCCAUUUGCUUCCUGCCUGACUUACCUUUUGAUUUAGCCUUAUCCCCUCUUCCCUAUAUUUUCUACAAUGCAGGGCUGCUACAGAAUCAACACAACGCACCACUCUGUUUGGUUUUACUUCCUCUACCCACUGCAACCCUAAAUGAAUCGCCAUCAUCUCUGCCAUGUGAAUUGACAAGUGAUCAGGAAGCCUUCACUGACUACUCCUCAGCGUACCCUGACUUUGUGGAGGCAGUCAGGUUCCACCAGGCAUUUCAGGAAGCGCAGGAGGGACAGGCCCUUGUCUGGGACUUAAAUUCAAAAGCUUGCAGAGUCUGUGCGAGUCUGAGGACCCCAAAAAGAUCCGGAAGCCGCGAGCUCCCGGCACGCAGAUGGAGAACGCAGUCCUCUACGUCAGGAGCAGGGACAGACAGAGAGCUGCUGCUGCUGCAUACACCACAGCUGCCACCGUUGCAACCAGCAGCACCACCACAGCCACAGCCAGGGCCAGCACCGGCAGCAGCAGCAGCACAGCCUCUUUAUCGGCCACAAGCCAGGAGUGCAUAGUGUUUUAUGUUAUAGCUGUCUGAUUUAACCGGAGGACCUUUCUGGAGACAUUUUAGUGUUUGUCAUUAUAGAUGUUGUUGUGUCUCCGGGAGGCAUUCUCUGUCUGCGGUGGAAAUGCAGGCAAAGAUAAAGAAGCUGGUGGUCCCUAAGCCUGCAUUUCCAGGCCAAGUCCAGCCUAAAUUAAACACACAGUCUAUUGUAUUUUUUAUUUUCACUGUCUAUUUUCUGUUUCUUGUCUCUCAUUGGGUGAUUACAGCCUCCUUCAGACCAGCUCCUCUCUCAGCACCAUCUGAGGAGCCUUCAGAUGAAGAGCUGGUCAACAGAAAGACUCAUUUUUGACUCCCCUUGUUAUUUUGCAUUAUAAAUGUUUCCGUAAUCAGAAGGUUAGGAAACGUCAGGGUAAGUUUGGUUCAAUGAAAAACUAUCUGGUGUCUACCUGGUGCAAGUCUCUAAUCACUAACCCACAUGCCGGCCAAUCACCUGUCAAAACAUCACUAACGAGUGCAUCUGUAGCGUCACAUUUUCUUCAUCAUCCUUUCCCUAGUUACCUGCGUAACUCCUCCAGCUGAUGCCAGCAUCCCUCAACCAGUCUACCAUCAAACCACCUUCUGUGCUCCUCCAGUGUUCAUGAACACUUAUUAACACAAAAAUCUAAUUCUUUCAUGUUACUGAAACUUACUUUUAUUUCUCUUUAAGCCUCAGAUGUAAAGGGCCCCUCUCUCGCUCCUGCAGCAUCCACCUCUUGCCACCACCUCAGCAUAAGGAGGCUUGUCUGGAUGAGCCCACAGACGAGGAGCUGCUGGAGGCCACACAGGAGCAAAAUCUGCCGCCGCCUGCAGCUGCCACCCCGCCGUCGCCUGCUCCCUCCCUGGAGGAAGGAUGACAGGAGGAGUUGCCUGGGCCAGCCUUCCUCCCUCCCCCACCACCUGUUGGCAGUACUGAGCUCCUGCCUGAGUCCUGGCAGGCAGCUCUCACUGUAGAGCAGCAGCAGUGGAUCAGUUGGAUGCUGUUUACCAUGGACAGCAGGGGGAGGCCUCAUCAUAUCAGUGAGCUUAAUCUCUGGUGGUACCCCCCCCCAAAACUGGCCGAUGUACCACCAGCCUCCCACGUCCCCUGACCCCUUCACAUGUCGGCUGUUCCUCUGGAUGCCACACCGGAUCCAGGGUCCAUGACAAAGGCUGGGAUGUACAGGACCAUCUGGAGGGUCCUGGACAUCGAUGGCUGGUAUCUAAUGGCCACUGAGUACCUUGCGUGCCAUCGAUGUAAGAAGGCUGGAGGGCGGUCACUGGGCAUCAUAAGGCAGCUGCCCCCCAACUACAGCUGCCAGUUCCAAGCUGUACUUCAACGCAUGUGAAUUAUCACUCUGUACAUGAUAAAUAUGCACUCAGAUGAAGCCUGUAUAUGAGCAGUGGAAUUUUCAAUUUCUCAGGAUUGUCAUCAGACUAUAUAUGGGACAGGGUGUCCACUGGGAGAGGAGGUGCGCGUUCCGAGGAGGUAAACAGGCAGGAGCCUUCCAUAGUCACAACAGAGCAGUCGGAGAGGAGCAACGCUCAAAAGGACACUUUUGUUUACUUUUUUUUUUACACACAAAAUGUAAACAAACUACAACACAAAUGCUUCAAAACAAGACUUACUGAGACUUCACACUCUUCUGCAGUCAUUAUGUCUCAAUUAAACUGCUGUACAACCCCUGAAGCUCUUCUCCAGCUUUGCCGCAGCUGGGGAUCGAACCUAUGACCACCAAAGCUCUCUCGCUGACAAACACAGUUUAAUCCAUUCCUUACACGUUUGCUUUUUUGGUUUUGGAAAGACAAUUAAAAAGACUUGACCCUCCAAACUCUUUGUAUACAGAGUACUUAUCUUACGCCUUGCAUGCACACCAGUGUCACCUGCAUGCAUACAAAGCCAGACCCCCUCCUUCAAAGUGCUAACAAUUAAAACAUAUCUUAGCAGACGUACGUGGCAAGGACAGCCUACUAAAUCAAAGCCACAGUGUGAUCAGACACACUGUGGUGGGACUGCAGGCCUAGUUUGACCCCAUCAAGUCUUAAUGAGGUCCGCCGAGUCGUUAACCUGUACAUUUAAAUAACAUGCAUCAAUAUUAAUAGGUUAUUAAUGACUCAAAGCAAUUAUAUAUACAGUAGACUGAACAGAGUGCCAGGCAGACAC
Siniperca chuatsi (mandarin fish) is the source of this 2734-nucleotide long non-coding RNA. RefSeq lists it as uncharacterized. The transcript is spliced from 5 exons. Lineage: Eukaryota; Metazoa; Chordata; Actinopteri; Centrarchiformes; Sinipercidae. The record is from RefSeq and is a predicted model, not a curated record.